Molecule: small nucleolar RNA, 86 nt
Filed under: Metarhizium album ARSEF 1941
Lineage: Eukaryota; Fungi; Ascomycota; Sordariomycetes; Hypocreales; Clavicipitaceae
Source: RNAcentral
CUAACAUGAUGAGACACAUUUUCAUCCAGUUCUGCUACUGAAAUGAAGUGAUGAAUCCUAAAAUACCAUAAUAUGACCUCUGAUGU